This 125-nucleotide ribosomal RNA is filed under the name Aeromicrobium sp. RNAcentral describes it as "partial 16S ribosomal RNA". It matches the Rfam family "Bacterial small subunit ribosomal RNA", at positions 1 to 126 of the family's 1533-position model. The record is from RNAcentral. RNAcentral also lists the same sequence under 1 other name. Lineage: Bacteria; Bacillati; Actinomycetota; Actinomycetes; Propionibacteriales; Nocardioidaceae.
UCAACGGAGAGUUUGAUCCUGGCUCAGGACGAACGCUGGCGGCGUGCUUAACACAUGCAAGUCGAGCGGUAAGGCUCCUUCGGGAGUACACGAGCGGCGAACGGGUGAGUAACACGUGAGCAAUC